UCCCUGGAGGACUAGUGGUUAGGCCACAGCGCUCUCACCGCUGCAGCCCGGGUUCGAUUCCCGGCCAGGGAA
Molecule: transfer RNA, 72 nt
Filed under: Pangasianodon hypophthalmus (striped catfish)
Lineage: Eukaryota; Metazoa; Chordata; Actinopteri; Siluriformes; Pangasiidae
Rfam family: tRNA
About the family: Transfer RNA (tRNA) molecules are approximately 80 nucleotides in length. Their secondary structure includes four short double-helical elements and three loops (D, anti-codon, and T loops). Further hydrogen bonds mediate the characteristic L-shaped molecular structure. tRNAs have two regions of fundamental functional importance: the anti-codon, which is responsible for specific mRNA codon recognition, and the 3' end, to which the tRNAs corresponding amino acid is attached (by aminoacyl-tRNA synthetases). tRNAs cope with the degeneracy of the genetic code in two manners: having more than one tRNA (with a specific anti-codon) for a particular amino acid; and 'wobble' base-pairing, i.e. permitting non-standard base-pairing at the 3rd anti-codon position.
Source: Rfam by way of RNAcentral